ACUGGUGUUCCUGUGAAAAUCAGGAAAUCCUCUUUGAGGACAAAGUGCUUGACUCAGCAGCCACAUGCGAUUCGACUCUUGGGACUGUAGGAAUAUAACGGGAAUGGGAUUCAACAUGUUGGUUGCUACUUACUGCAAAGCAGAGAAGCACUACGGAAGUGAAAACAAAAAUAUUGUAAUAGGUUAGUCAUCCAGACUAGGGAUCCGCAGUUCUGUUGAAACAGGACGUUUAUGAUAGAGAAACUGCACUUAAUAAGGUGUUGGAUAAAACUGAGCUUCUUGCUGAGCUAUUUCCGUGAACAGUUAGGAAUCAAAAAACUUGGAUUCAAAGUAAACUAAUCCAUCAGAAGAAACAAGGACUUGCAUUUAAGUAUUGUGGAGGAAAAUGCCACCCAGAGUCACUUCAGCUAUUGGUAAACUGGUACUUUUAGAACUCCUGCACUACCCUUGGCCAUGCCAAUGAGCUGGGAACCAGCCUCCUAACAGAUACAAGACCUUAGAUCCCGUUGGAACAAAGUGUGGCCCUGGGCACAGGCAGCUGGUGAAGCUGGGGCAGUAGGCAGCCUUCCUCUCUGAGGUAUCCGCACUACUUCACUCACGGGAUCCUCAGCAUCCCUGAUUAUAAUUGCUUUACCGUGGCAGCCAUGCUUUCCGCUCCAAGGAUGUUGAACUUCCUCCCUAAACAUCCAGCUCUAUUUCCUUCCUUGAGAUACUCUUUAAAAGCUUCUCUAUUUGAUCAAACAUUUGGCCAUCUGUCCUAAUUUGGCUCAAUAUCAAAUUUUGUCUGAUAAUAUUUCCAUGACUCGGCAAGGGUAAUUGUACCAUUCCCACUCUCCCUCUUCAGUCUGCUCCCCUGCCCACUGCACCUUCUUCCAACCCCUCCACAUCCUCCAUCCACUGCUUUUAAAAGUGUUUAUUUUAUUUACAUAAUAUUGAAGAAAUUCAUAGGAACAUAACAAAUGCCUCACUGUAAUUUACCAAAGCUCCUUAUGUCGUGCCAAAAAUAAGGACUCAAUGUAUUUCAUGCAAUGAACUAGUGUGGUUAGGGCAGUGGUUAACAGAUAGUAAACAAGAUGUAGGGAAAUAUGAGUCAUUUUCAGGUUGGCAAGGUGUAACCAACAGGACACCUCAGGGAUCAGUGCUGGGGCUUUAGCUACGUAGAAUCCAUAUUAAUGAUUUAGAUGAGAGAUUGAGGAGUAACAUAGUCAAGAUUUCUGCUUGACAAUGAAAGAAGGCAAAGAAAGUGAGGAAGACACAAAUAGUUUGCAUAAUGAUCUGACAAAAGGGGGCAAAAGGAUAGCAGAUGGUUUAGAAAUAUGGGAUGAAACAAGGUUUGCUACUUUUAUAGAAAGAUUUGAUAAUCAGAUUAUUACUUAAAUGGCAUGAAACCAUUAAAUAUUGGUGUUCAGAAAAAAAAUAAGGUGAACUCGUACAAGAAACACGGGAAGUUACCAAACAGGUACCACAAGUAAUUAAAAAGGCAAAUAGAAAGUUGAUCUUUACUGCAAGAGGAACGGAGCAUGGGUAAGGAAGUCUUAGAGAAACUGUACAGAGUUUUCCUCUUCCUUCUGAUUCCAUCCUUUCUUCUAACCUCCCCCAACCUUUUCCCUCUCCCUUUUCUGUUCCCCCCCUCGCCCACUUCACCUUCCCUCUAUCCCUCCACAUUCCAAUCCCAUCUCUGCUCCUUCCCAACUCCCAUCAUCUCUCUCUCCCUUCCCCUCUCCAGAUCCAAUUCUUUUCCUCCCUCUCCCCUAUUGAAUAGUCAAAAUAAAAUAAGUGAACAGAUUUGAAGCCCUACAGUUAUGGACAGAGAAGAGAGGGGGAAGAAAAAGAGGAAAAUAUAAAGCCUUGCAUGCUUUUACAUGGCUUCAUGAGCUUGGGGAAAUGUGGGUGCAUUUGUCGCUGAUGGUACUAAAAUGAAUUUGGGAAACAGCUUGAGACCACAUUUAAUGGUCUCAGACAACUCCAGGACAUGUUAAUGCAAAAGAAUGAAGAAAAUAAAGAAUAAACAAAUAAACUUGACCACCUGUUGCUAUUCAAUGUUUAGAAUGAAUCUAUUUUUAUAUUGCUUUGAUAGAUUAUUCAUUAAUAAACAGAUUCAUUCAGCAAAACACAACCUUGCAGCAUGAGAAAGCCAGAUGUUCAGGGAUAUUCUGGUGCAACUCAGUUCCAUGCUUUUUUCACACAAUUGUUUAGCCUCAUUAUUUUGUUUUCCCUCGUCGUGUUUUCCUUUUCACAUUUCAGUUGAGCAUUUAAGCAGCCUCAAUGUGUCAUCUGUGUCCAUAGGACUAACGUCUCACAUAAACAAAAGAUGGCUGACUUCCUGUUCCUGUGCAGCUGUUGUUUGCAAGUGAAUCAUGAAGCUAAUCUGUCAGCAAGAUUUUAAUCAUUGAAGCUUACUGUAUUAAAUUAUAUUACAUUGAUUUAAUGGAAUAAUUAUUUUGCCAUCACUGAA
This is a long non-coding RNA of Pristis pectinata (smalltooth sawfish), 2455 nucleotides long. RefSeq lists it as uncharacterized. The record is from RefSeq and is a predicted model, not a curated record. The transcript is spliced from 4 exons. NCBI's taxonomy places the organism in Eukaryota, Metazoa, Chordata, Chondrichthyes, Rhinopristiformes, Pristidae.